Molecule: ribosomal RNA, 483 nt
Filed under: uncultured bacterium
Lineage: Bacteria
Description: partial 16S ribosomal RNA
Rfam family: Bacterial small subunit ribosomal RNA
Source: RNAcentral
GAUGAACGCUAGCGGCAGGCCUAAUACAUGCAAGCCGAACGGCAAGUUUGAUAGCAAUAUUGGACCUAGAGUGGCGCAAGGGUGCGUAACACGUAUGCAACCUGCCCGCGACAGGAGGAUAGCUCCCCGAAAGGGGAAUUAACCCUCCAUAACACCAUGAGAAGGCAUCUGAUUAUGGUUAAACCGCAAGGGGUUGCGGAUGGGCAUGCGGCUGAUUAGCUAGUUGGCGGGGUAAAGGCCCACCAAGGCGGUGAUCAAUAGGGGUUCUGAGAGGAAGGUCCUCCCCGCUGGCACUGAGAUACUGGCCAGACUCCUACGACAGGCAGCAGUGGGGAAUAUUGGACUAUGGUUGCAAGACUGAUCCAGCCAUGCCGCGUGCAGGAAGAAGGCCUUCUGGGUCGUAAACUGCUUUUUCCAGUGGAUAGAAUACCCGUGCGCGGGGGAUUGAAGGGAACCGGGGAAUAAGCCACGGCUAACUACGUG